AAUUCCCCUKCCUAACACAUGCAAGUCGAAACGAAGGAUUGUAGUAANUACGGUCUUAGUGGCGAACGGGUGAAGUAACGCGUGGGUGACCUGCCCCGAAGUGUGGGAUACCAGUCCGAAAGGACUGCUAAUACUGCAUAACAUCCAGGAGAUUAGAACCUGCUGGAUUAAAGGAUUUUUUCGCUUCGGGAGGGACCUGCGUCCCAUCAGCUAGUUGGUAAGGUAAUGGCUUACCAAGGCUACGACGGGUAGGGGACCUGAGAGGGUGGCCCCCCACACUGGCACUGAAACACGGGCCAGACACCUACGGGUGGCAGCAGUAGGGAAUAUUGCACAAUGGGCGAAAGCCUGAUGCAGCAACGCCGCGUGCGCGAUGAAGGCCUUCGGGUCGUAAAGCGCUUUUCGGGGAGAUGAGGAAGGACAGUAUCCCCGGAAUAAGUCUCGGCUAACUACGUGCCAGCAGCCGCGGUAAYAC
Molecule: ribosomal RNA, 475 nt
Filed under: uncultured bacterium
Lineage: Bacteria
Description: bacterial SSU rRNA
Rfam family: Bacterial small subunit ribosomal RNA
Source: RNAcentral